AAUAUUGCGCAAUGGAGGAAACUCUGACGCAGCGACGCCGCGUGAGCGAUGAAGGNCUNNGGAUCNUNAAGCUCCGUCCUCAGNNNNNAAGAAAGUGACGGUACCUGAGGAGGAAGCCCCGGCUAACUACGUGCCAGCAGCCGCGGUAAUACGUAGGGGGCAAGCGUUGUCCGGAAUUAUUGGGCGUAAAGGGUGCGUAGGCGGCUUUUUAAGUCAGAUGUGAAAGACCACAGCUUAACUGUGGGGUUGCAUUUGAAACUGGAGAGCUUGAGUAUCGGAGAGGGUAGUGGAAUUCCUGGAGUAGCGGUGAAAUGCGUAGAUAUCAGGAGGAACACCAGUGGCGAAGGCGACUACCUGGACGAAAACUGACGCUGAGGCACGAAAGCUAGGGGAGCAAACA
RNAcentral lists this ribosomal RNA (400 nucleotides) under uncultured bacterium. RNAcentral describes it as "partial 16S ribosomal RNA". It matches the Rfam family "Bacterial small subunit ribosomal RNA", at positions 360 to 774 of the family's 1533-position model. The record is from RNAcentral.